RNAcentral lists this ribosomal RNA (486 nucleotides) under uncultured bacterium. Its description in RNAcentral is "partial 16S ribosomal RNA". It matches the Rfam family "Bacterial small subunit ribosomal RNA", at positions 30 to 507 of the family's 1533-position model. The record is from RNAcentral.
AUUGAACGCUGGCGGCAUGCCUUACACAUGCAAGUCGAACGGCAGCACGGGUGCUUGCACCUGGUGGCGAGUGGCGAACGGGUGAGUAAUACAUCAGAACAUGUCCUGUAGUGGGGGAUAGCCCGGCGAAAGCCGGAUUAAUACCGCAUACGAUCCACGGAUGAAAGCGGGGGACCUUCGGGCCUCGCGCUAUAGGGUUGGCCGAUGGCUGAUUAGCUAGUUGGUGGGGUAAAGGCCUACCAAGGCGACGAUCAGUAGCUGGUCUGAGAGGACGACCAGCCACACUGGGACUGAGACACGGCCCAGACUCCUACGGGAGGCAGCAGUGGGGAAUUUUGGACAAUGGGCGAAAGCCUGAUCCAGCAAUGCCGCGUGUGUGAAGAAGGCCUUCGGGUUGUAAAGCACUUUUGUCCGGAAAGAAAUCCUUGACUCUAAUACAGUCGGGGGAUGACGGUACCGGAAGAAUAAGCACCGGCUAACUACGUG